UACGGAGGGGGCUAGCGUUGUUCGGAAUUACUGGGCGUAAAGCGCACGUAGGCGGCUUUGUAAGUUAGAGGUGAAAGCCCAGGGCUUAACCCUGGAAUUGCCUUUAAGACUGCAUCGCUAGAAUCGUGGAGAGGUGAGUGGAAUUCCGAGUGUAGAGGUGAAAUUCGUAGAUAUUCGGAAGAACACCAGUGGCGAAGGCGACUCACUGGACACGUAUUGACGCUGAGGUGGCGAAAAGCGUGGGGAGCAACAGG
RNAcentral lists this ribosomal RNA (254 nucleotides) under uncultured bacterium. RNAcentral's name for it is "partial 16S ribosomal RNA". It matches the Rfam family "Bacterial small subunit ribosomal RNA", at positions 524 to 775 of the family's 1533-position model. The record is from RNAcentral.